This 676-nucleotide ribosomal RNA is filed under the name uncultured organism. Its description in RNAcentral is "bacterial SSU rRNA". It matches the Rfam family "Bacterial small subunit ribosomal RNA", at positions 43 to 736 of the family's 1533-position model. The record is from RNAcentral.
CGCGCUUAAUGCAUGCAAGUCGAGCGAUGAGGCCCUCUUCGGAGGGUACAUCAGCGGCAGACGGGUGAGUAACACGUAGGUGACCUGCCCUAAAGCUGGGGAUAACGGAUGGAAACAUACGCUAAUACCCAAUACACCUGUGAGGUCGCACUCAUAGGUAAAGCUCCGGCGCUUUAGAGAGGGGCCUGCGGUCCAUCAGCUAGUUGGAAGGGUAACGGCCUACCAAGGCGAAGACGGGUAGGGGGUGUGAGAGCACGACCCCCCACAAUGGGACUGAGACACGGCCCAUACUUCUACGGGAGGCAGCAGCAGGGAAUAUUGCACAAUGGACGCAAGUCUGAUGCAGCGACGCCGCGUGGAUGAUGAAGGCCCUCGAGUCGUAAAAUCCUUUUCAGGGGGACGAGGACGGACGGUACCCCUGGAAUAAGCGUCGGCUAACUACGUGCCAGCAGCCGCGGUAAGACGUAGGACGCAAGCGUUAUCCGGAUUUACUGGGCGUAAAGCGUCUGUAGGCGCGUUCGCUAAGUUGGGCGUGAAAGCUCCGGGCUUAACCCGGAGAGGUCGUUCAGUACUGUCGAACUAGAGGACAUCAGAGGAGCAUGGAAUUUCCGGGGUAGCGGUACAAAUGCGCAGAUAUCGGAAGGAACACCAGUGGCGAAGGCGGUGCUCUGGGGUG